CUCGGCAACGCAUAUCUCGGCUCUCGCAUCGAUGAAGAACGUAGCGAAAUGCGAUACUUGGUGUGAAUUGCAGAAUCCCGUGAACCAUCGAGUCUUUGAACGCAAGUUGCGCCCGACGCCAUCUGGCCGAGGGCACGUCUGCCUGGGUGUCACG
This 154-nucleotide ribosomal RNA is filed under the name Cuphea repens. RNAcentral describes it as "5.8S ribosomal RNA". It matches the Rfam family "5.8S ribosomal RNA". From Rfam's summary of the family: 5.8S ribosomal RNA (5.8S rRNA) is a component of the large subunit of the eukaryotic ribosome. It is transcribed by RNA polymerase I as part of the 45S precursor that also contains 18S and 28S rRNA. Lineage: Eukaryota; Viridiplantae; Streptophyta; Magnoliopsida; Myrtales; Lythraceae. The record is from RNAcentral.